GUUGUUCGGAAUUACUGGGCGUAAAGGGCGCGCAGGCGGCCUUCUAAGUCGAACGUGAAAUCCCUGGGCUCAACCCAGGAACUGCGUCCGAUACUGGAAGGCUUGAAUCCGGGAGAGGGAUGCGGAAUUCCAGGUGUAGCGGUGAAAUGCGUAGAUAUCUGGAGGAACACCGGUGGCGAAGGCGGCAUCCUGGACCGGUAUUGACGCUGAGGCGCGAAAGCCAGGGGAGCAAACGGG
RNAcentral lists this ribosomal RNA (237 nucleotides) under uncultured bacterium. RNAcentral describes it as "partial 16S ribosomal RNA". It matches the Rfam family "Bacterial small subunit ribosomal RNA", at positions 540 to 776 of the family's 1533-position model. The record is from RNAcentral.